AUUAUACAGCGAAACUGCGAAUGGCUCAUUAAAUCAGUUAUCGUUUAUUUGAUAGUACCUUACUACUUGGAUAACCGUGGUAAUUCUAGAGCUAAUACAUGCUAAAAACCCCGACUCACGAAGGGGUGUAUUUAUUAGAUUAAAAACCAAUGCCCUUCGGGGCUCUUUGGUGAUUCAUAAUAACUUCUCGAAUCGCAUGGCCUUGCGCCGGCGAUGGUUCAUUCAAAUUUCUGCCCUAUCAACUUUCGAUGGCAGGGUCUUGGCCUGCCAUGGUUACAACGGGUAACGGAGGGUUAGGGCUCGACCCCGGAGAAGGAGCCUGAGAAACGGCUACUACAUCCAAGGAAGGCAGCAGGCGCGCAAAUUACCCAAUCCCGACACGGGGAGGUAGUGACAAUAAAUACUGAUACAGGGCUCUUUAGGGUCUUGUAAUUGGAAUGAGUACAAUUUAAAUCCCUUAACGAGGAACAAUUGAAGGGCAAUUCUGGUGCCCGCAGCCGCGGUAAUUCCAGCUCCAAUAGCGUAUAUUAAAGUUGUUGCAGUUAAAAAGCUCGUAGUUGAACCUUGGGCCUGGCUGGCCGGUCCGCCUCACCGCGUGCACUGGUUCGGCCGGGCCUUUCCCUCUGGGGAACCUCAUGCUCUUCACUGAGUGUGCUGGGGAACCAGGACUUUUACUGUGAAAAAAUUAGAGUGUUCAAAGCAGGCCUAUGCUCGAAUACAUUAGCAUGGAAUAAUGAAAUAGGACGUGUGGUUCUAUUUUGUUGGUUUCUAGGACCGCCGUAAUGAUUAAUAGGGACAGUCGGGGGCAUCAGUAUUCAAUUGUCAGAGGUGAAAUUCUUGGAUUUAUUGAAGACUAACUACUGCGAAAGCAUUUGCCAAGGAUGUUUUCAUUAAUCAGGAACGAAAGUUAGGGGAUCGAAGACGAUCAGAUACCGUCGUAGUCUUAACCAUAAACUAUGCCGACUAGGGAUCGGACGAUGUUAUUUUUUGACUCGUUCGGCACCUUACGAGAAAUCAAAGUCUUUGGG
Molecule: ribosomal RNA, 1028 nt
Filed under: Amphisphaeria umbrina
Lineage: Eukaryota; Fungi; Ascomycota; Sordariomycetes; Amphisphaeriales; Amphisphaeriaceae
Description: SSU rRNA
Rfam family: Eukaryotic small subunit ribosomal RNA
Source: RNAcentral